GCCGAAAUAGCUCAGUUAGCGGGAGAGCGUUAGACUGAAAUUUAAAGGUCCCUGGUUCCGUCCGGGUUUCGGCA
Molecule: non-coding RNA, 74 nt
Organism: Trichonephila inaurata madagascariensis
Lineage: Eukaryota; Metazoa; Arthropoda; Arachnida; Araneae; Nephilidae
Source: the annotation of a GenBank genome assembly